This 74-nucleotide transfer RNA is filed under the name Rhodospirillum rubrum ATCC 11170. It matches the Rfam family "tRNA". From Rfam's summary of the family: Transfer RNA (tRNA) molecules are approximately 80 nucleotides in length. Their secondary structure includes four short double-helical elements and three loops (D, anti-codon, and T loops). The record is from Rfam by way of RNAcentral. Lineage: Bacteria; Pseudomonadati; Pseudomonadota; Alphaproteobacteria; Rhodospirillales; Rhodospirillaceae.
CGGGGCGUAGCUCAGCCUGGUAGAGCGUCGGCUUUGGGAGCCGAAAGCCGGAGGUUCGAAUCCUCUCGCCCCGA